This 660-nucleotide long non-coding RNA is filed under the name Olea europaea subsp. europaea. Lineage: Eukaryota; Viridiplantae; Streptophyta; Magnoliopsida; Lamiales; Oleaceae. The record is from RNAcentral.
CCCAUGACUGAAGAAUCUAAAUAAACAUGAGCCAUGUAAAUACAAUCUGGAACCAACAAACACCAAACUUAAAGGACAAACUCAACAACAUUGACUUGGUAAAACACGACUCAAAAAUGGACUGGACUUAAAUGCAUUGAUUGAGCUUAAUAAGCGGCCCAAAGGCCCACUACUCGACCCGACUAUCUUCAGCGCACAUAACAGAUCCCUCUCCAUCAAAAGACCUUGUCCUCUAGGUCAGGGAAACACUAUUUGAGCUCGUCUUCUACCCAACAAUUCUCCUGGUUUUCUUCCAAUUUUGUUUCCGGGUGAAUGAUUGCUAAGUUUCCUUCCUCCUCUCUAAGUUCAACAAUCUCUUCCUCCUCUAUGUCUUCCAACAGAAAAAUUUUAGGCUUACUGCAUCCGUGACCAAUGUGAAAAUUUUCAUCACAAUAGUAGCAUAGCCCUUUCUCCCUUCUUUCUUGCAUUUGAGUUAGGAUUAUUCUUUUAAUGGGAAGGUUUUGUUUUCCAUUUGGGUUGAAGGUAUUUGGGUAGGUCUUAUUUUCUUGUUUGGCUUGUGGGAGUGGUAGUCUUGGUAGGGGAAUGAGAGCAGGUACCUUGGUAAUGGAUGGGGUGUUUGGUAGUGUUAAUUGGUAGGACUUACCCGAGACACCCGUAUAC